UACAGCGGAUGAUCAAAAUUUUUUUCCCAGAAAUCUGUACAUAUUUACGAAAGUCCACUUGGGGACAAUUUUCUAUCGAAAUGGAUAGAGCCAAAAAAGCAAGCAGAAAAGGAGAAACUCACACUGGAGAAGAAUAACCAGAACUUCAAAGAAGUCUCUGAGAGACUAAAGAACUUAGAAAGUAUCCUGGAACCUCAUAUGAAAGUGAAAAAGUGGAAAUGGAAGAAAAUGCUAUGCAAAUACAGAGCAUUGCUAAUACACAUAAUUAGUGAGGCGCAGCAAAUGAUGAAGCCAGAUGUGGAACUCAUCCAGAAUGUGAGAAGAACAUUAACAAGGUAUACUUCUCUCUCAGCGAUGGAACCCCUCACACUGGUUUUAGAGCCAUACUAUUUCACUGUGUUGGCAGUUUUUAAAAUGUAUUCCAAGACGAGGCACUGAAGGAGAGAAGAGUCUAAGGGAAAAGAACUCACUGGGUCAGGAUAUAAACCAUUUUCCAUUUUGAUGCCUUCUGAGAAGCCUUACAAAGCUUAUUUCUAUUGGAGAUGACGUUCCCUCAUGUCUGCCUGUCUGUUGUACUAAACGAUUUCCAUAGAAUCCCUUCUCGAUCUAUCAUAUUUCUUUUGGAAAUCAAAGCCAAGCAGUCUGAGCCCGACACAGCUGUGUCAAUGACUCCUGGAAGGGCUGCUCUCUGUGCAUUCAGGGGCAUGGUGGGAAAAGAGAAGGCUAUUUUAUUGAUAUUCAAACACAGACAGCAUUAAGAAUUAAAGAGACUUUUCAUUAAGAUCUGUGUUAAGAAAUAAAACCUUCCUUGGAGUAGGAACA
This 822-nucleotide long non-coding RNA is filed under the name Monodelphis domestica (gray short-tailed opossum). RNAcentral's name for it is "lncRNA (ENSMODG00000030235.2)". The record is from RNAcentral. Lineage: Eukaryota; Metazoa; Chordata; Mammalia; Didelphimorphia; Didelphidae.